RNAcentral lists this ribosomal RNA (710 nucleotides) under uncultured Comamonadaceae bacterium. Its description in RNAcentral is "bacterial SSU rRNA". It matches the Rfam family "Bacterial small subunit ribosomal RNA", at positions 97 to 803 of the family's 1533-position model. Lineage: Bacteria; Pseudomonadati; Pseudomonadota; Betaproteobacteria; Burkholderiales; Comamonadaceae. The record is from RNAcentral.
GGCGAACGGGUGAGUAAUGCGUCGGAACGUGCCCAAUCGUGGGGGAUAACGUAGCGAAAGUUACGCUAAUACCGCAUACGAUCUAAGGAUGAAAGCGGGGGAUCGCAAGACCUCGCGCGAAUGGAGCGGCCGAUGUUAGAUUAGGUAGUUGGUGGGGUAAAGGCUCACCAAGCCGACGAUCUAUAGCUGGUCUGAGAGGAUGAUCAGCCACACUGGGACUGAGACACGGCCCAGACUCCUACGGGAGGCAGCAGUGGGGAAUUUUGGACAAUGGGCGCAAGCCUGAUCCAGCCAUUCCGCGUGCAGGAUGAAGGCCCUCGGGUUGUAAACUGCUUUUGUACAGAACGAAAAGCUCUGGGUUAAUACCCUGGGGUCAUGACGGUACUGUAAGAAUAAGCACCGGCUAACUACGUGCCAGCAGCCGCGGUAAUACGUAGGGUGCAAGCGUUAAUCGGAAUUACUGGGCGUAAAGCGUGCGCAGGCGGUUAUGUAAGACAGAGGUGAAAUCCCCGGGCUCAACCUGGGAACUGCCUUUGUGACUGCAUAGCUAGAGUACGGCAGAGGGGGAUGGAAUUCCGCGUGUAGCAGUGAAAUGCGUAGAUAUGCGGAGGAACACCGAUGGCGAAGGCAAUCCCCUGGGCCUGUACUGACGCUCAUGCACGAAAGCGUGGGGAGCAAGCAGGAUUAGAUACCCUGGUAGUCCACGCCCU